This 253-nucleotide ribosomal RNA is filed under the name uncultured bacterium. RNAcentral describes it as "partial 16S ribosomal RNA". It matches the Rfam family "Bacterial small subunit ribosomal RNA", at positions 524 to 776 of the family's 1533-position model. The record is from RNAcentral.
UACGGAAGGGGCAAGCGUUGUUCGGAAUCAUUGGGCGUAAAGGGCGCGUAGGCGGCUUUGUAAGUUAGAGGUGAAAGCCCGGGGCUCAACUCCGGAAUUGCCUUUAAGACUGCAUCGCUAGAAUUGUGGAGAGGUAAGUGGAAUUCCGAGUGUAGAGGUGAAAUUCGUAGAUAUUCGGAAGAACACCAGUGGCGAAGGCGACUUACUGGACACAUAUUGACGCUGAGGUGCGAAAGCGUGGGGAGCAAACAGG